Lepisosteus oculatus (spotted gar) is the source of this 119-nucleotide ribosomal RNA. The record is from Ensembl. Lineage: Eukaryota; Metazoa; Chordata; Actinopteri; Semionotiformes; Lepisosteidae.
UAAAGCAGCCAUAUCACCCUGCAACUCACAACUGGCAGCCCACUGAAGCUCAGCAGGUGUGAGCCUGGUCAGUACCAGGAUGGGAGACCUCCUGGGAAAAACUAAGGUUGCUGCUGGAA